GUUGGAACGGCUGCUAAUACCCAAUGUGCCGAAUAGGUGAAAGAUUUAUCACCUGGAGAGGGGCUCGCGUCCGAUUAGCUAGUUGGUGGGGUAAGAGCCUACCAAGGCGUCGAUCGGUAGCUGGUCUGAGAGGAUGAGCAGCCACACUGGGACUGAGACACGGCCCAGACUCCUACGGGAGGCAGCAGUGGGGAAUUUUCCGCAAUGGGCGAAAGCCUGACGGAGCAAUACCGCGUGAGGGAGGAAGGCUUUUGGGUUGUAAACCUCUUUUCUUAGGGAAGAAGAAAGUGACGGUACCUAAGGAAUCAGCAUCGGCUAACUCCGUGCCAGCAGCCGCGGUAAUACGGAGGAUGCAAGCGUUAUCCGGAAUUAUUGGGCGUAAAGCGUCCGCAGGUGGCACUUCAAGUCUGCUGUCAAAGACCAGAGCUCAACUCUGGGCAGGCGGUGGAAACUGGGGAGCUAGAGUACGGUAGGGGUAGAGGGAAUUUCCAGUGUAGCGGUGAAAUGCGUAGAGAUUGGAAAGAACACCAGUGGCGAAGGCGCUCUACUGGACCUGUACUGACACUAAGGGACGAAAGCUAGGGGAGCGAAAGGGAUUAGAUACCCCUGUAGUCA
This 615-nucleotide ribosomal RNA is filed under the name Candidatus Pleurinema sp. BPE18. RNAcentral describes it as "bacterial SSU rRNA". It matches the Rfam family "Bacterial small subunit ribosomal RNA", at positions 149 to 796 of the family's 1533-position model. The record is from RNAcentral. Lineage: Bacteria; Bacillati; Cyanobacteriota; Cyanophyceae; Pleurocapsales.